RNAcentral lists this ribosomal RNA (552 nucleotides) under Aspergillus calidoustus. RNAcentral's name for it is "eukaryotic LSU rRNA". The stretch from base 189 to 342 matches the Rfam family "5.8S ribosomal RNA". The record is from RNAcentral. Lineage: Eukaryota; Fungi; Ascomycota; Eurotiomycetes; Eurotiales; Aspergillaceae.
UUUCCGUAGGUGAACCUGCGGAAGGAUCAUUACCGAGUGCAGGUCUGCCCCCGGGCAGGCCUAACCUCCCACCCGUGAAUACCUGACCAACGUUGCUUCGGCGGUGCGCCCCCCCGGGGGUAGCCGCCGGAGACCACACCGAACCUCCUGUCUUUAGUGUUGUCUGAGCUUGAUAGCAAACCUAUUAAAACUUUCAACAAUGGAUCUCUUGGUUCCGGCAUCGAUGAAGAACGCAGCGAACUGCGAUAAGUAAUGUGAAUUGCAGAAUUCAGUGAAUCAUCGAGUCUUUGAACGCACAUUGCGCCCCCUGGCAUUCCGGGGGGCAUGCCUGUCCGAGCGUCAUUGCUGCCCUUCAAGCCCGGCUUGUGUGUUGGGUCGUCGUCCCCCCCGGGGGACGGGCCCGAAAGGCAGCGGCGGCACCGCGUCCGGUCCUCGAGCGUAUGGGGCUUUGUCACCCGCUCGAUUAGGGCCGGCCGGGCGCCAGCCGGCGUCUCCAACCUUCUAUUUUACCAGGUUGACCUCGGAUCAGGUAGGGAUACCCGCUGAACUUAA